RNAcentral lists this ribosomal RNA (490 nucleotides) under uncultured bacterium. RNAcentral describes it as "partial 16S ribosomal RNA". It matches the Rfam family "Bacterial small subunit ribosomal RNA", at positions 30 to 507 of the family's 1533-position model. The record is from RNAcentral.
AUUGAACGCUGGCGGCAGGCCUAACACAUGCAAGUCGAACGGUAACAGGAAGCAGCUUGCUUCUUUGCUGACGAGUGGCGGACGGGUGAGCAAUGUCUGGGAAACUGCCUGAUGGAGGGGGAUAACUACUGGAAACGGUAGCUAAUACCGCCUAACGUCGCAAGACCAAAGAGGGGGGCCUUCGGGCCUCUUGCCAUCGGAUGGGCCCAGAUGGGAUUAGCUUGUGGGUGGGGUAACGGCACACCUAGGCGACGAUCCCUAGCUGGUCUGAGAGGAUGACCAGCCACACUGGAACUGAGACACGGUCCAGACUCCUACGGGAGGCAGCAGUGGGGAAUAUUGCACAAUGGGCGCAAGCCUGAUGCAGCCAUGCCGCGUGUAUGAAGAAGGCCUUCGGGUUGUAAAGUACUUUCAGCGGGGAGGAAGGGAGGAAAGUUAAUACCUUUCCUCAUUGACGUUACCCGCAGAAGAAGCACCGGCUAACUCCGUG